This is a small nucleolar RNA of Manis pentadactyla (Chinese pangolin), 124 nucleotides long. RefSeq annotates it as small nucleolar RNA SNORA25. The record is from RefSeq and is a predicted model, not a curated record. Lineage: Eukaryota; Metazoa; Chordata; Mammalia; Pholidota; Manidae. The transcript has a single exon.
AGGUCAAUUCAAAGAGGGCUUGUGGGACCAACACCAGGAGCUCUUCACACUGUGACCAAAUACUGAAGUUCUCCAUAGAUGUUAAUAGUCACUCGAUAGUGCUAUGCUUCCCUGAGAUUUAAGA